AAAUCCCAAUUCUGCUUAACAUAAUGCUUUUGAUUACUUGUGAUGUCCAUUGUUGUUAGCACAUUUGAUCUGCUUCUGUUCAUGUUGAUGCAGGUUUGGACAUUACAAUGAUUUUGCUGGCAGGAUUUAGUCAAGUGGUCGUGUGCACUGCAGGUUUUAAGGUUGAAUUGUGGAACUCAUCUUGACUUAAUCAGGUUUAUCAUACAGCCAAAGGUUUCAGGUAUGUGUAGCAUAACAUCAUGGUUUGGGUUGCCACUUUCAUCUGGCUUGUGCACUGAUGUGCAAUCUAUCUGAACCUAAAGCUGCUAAAAUCCAUCCAUGCCUAUUUCCUGUGUCCAUGGUUAUUAGCACUUGUGUGGAUUGAAUGAGUAGGCUAACUUAUGAAUUGUCAUGCUGCCCUAUAUUCUGAAUUGUUGUGGCCAUAGCUAUGUUAAUGGCGAACUAUGCAUUUGUCCCAUGGUUAUAAAUUAAACUGUGAAGUGGUUGCAUGUGUUUUUGCAGGUUUGUCCAUUGCCUUAAUCCUGACCCUGCAGUUUAGCAUUUGGUCUGGUUCUGCAGGAUUCUUGGCUUGGGCAUUAUGGUGGUUUGGUUCUGCAUCAGGUAGUUUGUGGAUUGAUUAUGCUUGCCAUGAACAUGAAUGAAUUGUGUUGAAACCUCUUGCCAAGCCAUAUUUUAUUAGAAUUAUAGGUAUGUUUGGGCUACUACUGAGCUAGAAUGGUGUUGCUUGAAAUAUCAAGAUGUUGCAUCCCUAAGGAUUUGCACCAGUUGGGUUCAGUGAUGGUCCCAAUAGUUGCUUGCUGCUAUGUUUUGUUGUUGAGAAAAGCUAGAGAGGAACUCCCACUAUAGCAUAGUAGUAUGGUGAACUUCAUUUUGAUGAAGAUGCUGAAUGGGAUCGAUGGAGGGUUCAGGUACUGAUAGCAAGAAAUCCAUGGAGCCAAAACAGGUUGGUGCGGAAUAUUCGCAGCUUGCUGUAAGAAAGUUCAAAC
This is a long non-coding RNA of Lathyrus oleraceus (garden pea), 986 nucleotides long. RefSeq lists it as uncharacterized. The transcript is spliced from 3 exons. The record is from RefSeq and is a predicted model, not a curated record. Lineage: Eukaryota; Viridiplantae; Streptophyta; Magnoliopsida; Fabales; Fabaceae.